This 253-nucleotide ribosomal RNA is filed under the name uncultured bacterium. RNAcentral's name for it is "partial 16S ribosomal RNA". It matches the Rfam family "Bacterial small subunit ribosomal RNA", at positions 524 to 776 of the family's 1533-position model. The record is from RNAcentral.
UACGGAGGGUGCAAGCGUUAUCCGGAUUCACUGGGUUUAAAGGGUGCGUAGGCGGCCAGGUAAGUCAGUGGUGAAAUCUCCGAGCUUAACUCGGAAACUGCCUUUGAUACUCUCUGUCUUGAAUAUGGUGGAGGUAAGCGGAAUAUGUCAUGUAGCGGUGAAAUGCUUAGAGAUGACAUAGAACACCUAUUGCGAAGGCAGCUUACUACGCCUAUAUUGACGCUGAGGCACGAAAGCGUGGGGAGCAAACAGG